RNAcentral lists this non-coding RNA (815 nucleotides) under Eremicaster vicinus. Lineage: Eukaryota; Metazoa; Echinodermata; Asteroidea; Paxillosida; Porcellanasteridae. The record is from RNAcentral.
ACCAAUUUGGUCCUAGUCCUUCCCUUGAUUUUUUCUAAAAUGAUACAUGCAAGCCCUAAACAUUCCGGUGAGUAACUAAAUAGAUUCCUCUAAAAGAAAAAUCAUAUUUACAUCAAGGUAUCAGGCUUCAAAUUGAACCUACAACACCUAGCACCCCACACCUGCAGUACUAAACAUUAUACAAUAUGCAUACGCUUGAUAUAGUUACAGAAAAAAGGGUUGGUAAAUUAUGUGCCAGCCACCGCGGUUAUACAUAAAACCCCAAUCAAGACUUUUACGGUAAAAAGUGGUUAGAAAAAUUUAAUUAAUGUAUAAAGAAAAGCACACUCUAGUAGUAAUAAACUUUACAGAAAAAUUAAAUACAAAUUAAAAUAAACUUUAUAUUAAUAUUAUAAUUCUUUUUAUUCGAGGCCACUAAAGCUCAAAAAUAAACUGGGAUUAGAUACCCCAUUAUAUGAGCCAUAAAACAAAUUACCAGAGAACUACGAACUAAAGUUUAAAACUCAAAGGACUUGGCGGUUUUUUAGAUCUCCCUGGAGGAGCUUGCUACCUAACCGAUAACCCACGAAAAACCUUACCAGCUUUUGAAAAAUCAACCUGUAUACCAUCGUCGUCAGUCUACUUCUUAAGAAAGUAUACAUAACGAAAACUCCUUCCUUACGUCAGAUCGAGGUGCAGUUAAUAUGCUGGGGGUAAGUGAGCUACAAUAUUUAUACUUCAAUUUUGAAUUUCCCCCUGAAACGAAGGCUUGAAAUAGGAUUCAGAAGUAAUAUCUACCAGAAAAUAGAUAUGAACAAAUAAAAGCUCUAAAUGCG